RNAcentral lists this ribosomal RNA (253 nucleotides) under uncultured bacterium. Its description in RNAcentral is "partial 16S ribosomal RNA". It matches the Rfam family "Bacterial small subunit ribosomal RNA", at positions 524 to 776 of the family's 1533-position model. The record is from RNAcentral.
UACGUAGGGGGCACGCGUUGUCCGGAUUCAUUGGGCGUAACGAGCGUGUAGGCGGCCAGGUAGGUCGGUUGUGAAAACUGGAGGCUCAACCUUCAGACGUCGACCGAAACCAUCUGGCUAGAGUCCGGGAGAGGAGAGUGGAAUUCCUGGUGUAGCGGUGAAAUGCGCAGAUAUCAGGAAGAACACCCGUGGCGAAAGCGGCUCGCUGGAACGGUACUGACGCUGAGACGCGAAAGCGUGGGGAGCGAACAGG